UACGUAGGUGGCAAGCGUUGUCCGGAAUUAUUGGGCGUAAAGCGCGCGCAGGUGGUUCCUUAAGUCUGAUGUGAAAGCCCACGGCUCAACCGUGGAGGGUCAUUGGAAACUGGGGAACUUGAGUGCAGAAGAGGAAAGUGGAAUUCCAAGUGUAGCGGUGAAAUGCGUAGAGAUUUGGAGGAACACCAGUGGCGAAGGCGACUUUCUGGUCUGUAACUGACACUGAGGCGCGAAAGCCAGGGGAGCAAACGGG
This 253-nucleotide ribosomal RNA is filed under the name uncultured bacterium. RNAcentral's name for it is "partial 16S ribosomal RNA". It matches the Rfam family "Bacterial small subunit ribosomal RNA", at positions 524 to 776 of the family's 1533-position model. The record is from RNAcentral.